This 76-nucleotide transfer RNA is filed under the name Ottowia sp. RNAcentral describes it as "tRNA-Thr(tgt)". It matches the Rfam family "tRNA". From Rfam's summary of the family: Transfer RNA (tRNA) molecules are approximately 80 nucleotides in length. Lineage: Bacteria; Pseudomonadati; Pseudomonadota; Betaproteobacteria; Burkholderiales; Comamonadaceae. RNAcentral also lists the same sequence under 1 other name. The record is from RNAcentral.
GCCGGUUUAGCUCAGUUGGUAGAGCACCCGCCUUGUAAGCGGUAGGUCGUCAGUUCAAGUCCGACAACCGGCACCA